RNAcentral lists this ribosomal RNA (2748 nucleotides) under Triticum aestivum (bread wheat). Its description in RNAcentral is "partial small subunit ribosomal RNA". Lineage: Eukaryota; Viridiplantae; Streptophyta; Magnoliopsida; Poales; Poaceae. The record is from RNAcentral.
AUGGAUUGGCUCCUGACCACCGGCUUGUCGGCCACCGCCGGCGCGUGGGGCGCCCACGCAGGCCUCGGCGACGAAGUGGGCAGGCUGCGCUCCGUGCUGUCCCGCGUGCACGCGCUCGUCGAGCGAGCGGAGCAGUGGCGGUUCGCCAACCCCGGCGUUGCCGAUCUCCUCGCACGGCUCAGGGACGCCGCCUGCGACGCCGAGGACCUCGCGGACGAGCUCGCCACGGACGAGAAGCGGGCGAGCCAGAGCCUCUUCCCAUCCGUGCGCGGUUUCCUGCGCGGAUUGGUCACCGGCGCGGCGGAUAGAGCCAGAGCCGUCACAGUCCGUGCCCACGAUCCCGGCGGCGGCGGCGGCAGCGCGAAGCGACGGAAGAGCCGUGACGGCGUGGCCGUGUUGGCGAUCCUUGGCAUGGGCGGCGUGGGGAAGACCACUCUGGCGCAGGUUGUGUACAACGACCAGAGGGUGCAGGACCACUUCGACCUGCGGAUGUGGGUUUGCCUGCCGGAAUCGCCGGACGUGACACUGGUGACCAAGGUGAUCAUCGAGUCGGCAACCAAAGGCGCGGCGGCGCAAACCGGCCUUGCCAAUUUGGACUCACUUCAGGUGGUUCUCAGAGAUUUGGUCAGUUCCAAGAGGUUCCUUCUUGUCCUUGACAAUGCCUGGUGUGAGGACAGUGUGGAGUUUCAGACACUCGUGGCACCACUGAAGUUUGGGUAUCCUGGAAGUGCCAUCUUGGUGACCAGUCGCUCUUGCAAGGUUGCGGAUGCCACCGGAGCAGCGGAGCUGUUGUGUCUGAAUGGAUUGCCGGAGGAGGCUUACUGGGAGCUGUUCAAGCAGUAUGUAUUCGGCAAUGAGGACCCUGCCGGCCAUCCUGAAUUGGUGGCCAUUGGGAAGAAGAUUGCCCACAGGCUCAAGGGCUCCCCUCUUGCUGCCAAGACUGUCGGCGUGGCACUGAGCUCUGACAUGAGCACAAAGCAUUGGAGCAUAGUCAUGGCAAGUGGGUUGUGGGAGCUUGAUCAAGGUGCAGGAGGCAUUCUCCCGGCUCUCCGACUGAGUUACCAGUACCUCCCGGCACACCUCAAGCAAUGCUUCAUAUUCUGCGCGAUAUUUCCGAAGGGGUAUAUCUUCGGGAAGGACACUCUUAUUGACAUGUGGAUUGCAGAAGGCUUCAUCUCACCUCAAGGCGACUUUGGGAGCAUAUGCUUGAAAGAAUUGCUCAGCAGGUCCUUCUUUCAGCAACACAUGUUCAGUGACUCCUGUUAUGUCAUGCAUGACCUGAUGUCUGAUCUUGCACAGUCGCUCUCUAUAGAUGAAUGUUUUUGUCUGACUGAUGAAAGAUGCCUUCCGAAAAUCCCUUCAACCAUUCGCCAUCUGUCAGUGUGCACCAAACAUCUUGAACUGAGCAAGUUUCUUGAACUGGGUAGAUACACAAAGCUGCGGUCACUUUUGAUUCUCGGUAUGUCUGGGCAAGAUUUGAGUUGCUCACUUGACAUUUUGUUUGAUAAACUGAGUAAUAUCCGCGUGCUGGUGCUACGGGGGUGUGCGGUCAAAGAGCUCCCUAGGAAUAUUGGCAAUUUGAAACUUCUCCGGUAUAUCGAUAUCUCUUACACAAAGAUCCAAUGUUUGCCUGACUCCAUUUGCCAACUAAACAAUUUGCAAAUUCUGAAUGUACUGAACGUCCCUCUGAAGAACCAUCCCAAAGGUUUGACUAGAUUAGUCAAUCUGAGGAAAUGUUACGUGAAUGAACCGAUUACUUCGGUGAUGAGCAAUAUAAGCAAUUUGACAUCACUCGAGAACUCGUUGGUAUUUGAAAUUCCGAAAGGACAAGGGCACAGAAUCGCCGAACUGAAGGACAUGACACAGCUGACUGAAACUUUACAUGUUACGAAUCUUGAGAAUGUUGUGAAGGAUGAUGCUUUAAAAGCCAAGAUGAGCACAAAGGCGCACCUACAACGGUUGAUUCUGGAAUGGUCUUCAAGCAAAACUGGUAAUGCGGAAGUCAGCAAUGCCAAGUAUUCACAAGAAAGCAUUAUUGUUGAAUCAUUUGAGCCCCAUCCCAACCUUGAGAGUUUGAAAUUGAAGCACUACAGUGGCAUCCCAACACCAUCUUGGUUGCAGGCUGGAAAACUUUGCUGUUUGUGCGAGCUCAGUCUCUCCAACUGCCAUUUCCUAACUGAAGUCACCAGCCUCCCUUCUUCCCUCAGGAGGUUGCACAUCAUACGGUGCAGAAACCUCAGGAGUCUCGAUGAGUGUCUACAGGCACAGAGCUUGCAGGGAAUCACCGAAAUAACUGUUAUGAACUGCUCAAAACUAGCAUUGCUCCCUGUGGAAAGAUUUCGGGGCUUUGCUUCUCUUCGCGUAUUGGAAAUUCAAAAUUGUCCAGAGCUUCCACCCACAAGGAAACUGACCCUGCCGCCAUCAAUGGUGGAGUUGCUUAUGAGAUCAUGCGGCCAUGUCGAUGCAUCACUUCCAUCCUGCUUGCACAACCUGCCUUCACUUGUAAGCUUGAUUAUAUACAACUGUCCUAACUUACUAUCCCUUCCAGCAGAAAUAGUUUCGCAGCUGCGAUCACUCCGAGGGAUGUAUGUCGAUAACUGCAGCAGCCUGCGAUCCUUGGGUGGACUGCACCACCUUUCGUCACUCAUCAACCUGCAUAUUGUGAACUGCCCUAGGUUGACAGACCUUGAUCCCUUGAUGUUUCUGGACGUCGGCGAAGGCCAGGGUUACAGAAGCUGGAGUGCCUGA